UUGAGACACAGGUUUCCAUAUGAUCACCGAAGUUAAGCAACAUCGAGCCUGGUCAGUAUCUAGAUGAGUGACUCUUUGGAAAUAGCAGGUGUUGUAGG
Acanthosepion pharaonis is the source of this 98-nucleotide non-coding RNA. NCBI's taxonomy places the organism in Eukaryota, Metazoa, Mollusca, Cephalopoda, Sepiida, Sepiidae. The record is from the annotation of a GenBank genome assembly.